UACUUUUUUCAUCUCAAUCUUAGCUAAACUUUACAUGGUAUCAGAGCAAGCUACUGCCCUGUGUAAACCACCUCAACAAACUCAGAUCUAGAUCUGAGAAAAUUUACUCUUACUUUCUCAAGCCACACAGCCUGUUCAACAAGCAUAAUGGCAGAAAUCACUGAGGGAAACACACCAGGAAAAGAAGAGAAAGACGACAAGAUGAUGAAGUUGCUGAACUCUGAUUCUCCCAGCAUGAUCCUCGUCAGCUCUCCAUUAAACGGCAACAACUACCUGACAUGGAGCAGAUCAAUGGUCAUUGCUUUGAAAGCAAAGGACAAACUAGGAUUCAUAAAUGGCAAAUGCAAGAUGCCAGAUCAAGAUGACAGAAACUAUGAGGAAUGGCAGAAAGCAGAUAAUAUGGUAAUGUCCUGGAUCUUGAAUGCUCUUUCAAAAGAAUUGGCUGAGACUUUUUUAUAUGCCACAAAUGCUUAUGAAUUAUGGGAAGAAUUAAAAGAAAGAUUUGGAGACAGUAAUGGCCCCCUGAUGUACCAAUUAAUGAAAGAAAUCAGCAAUGCCAGUCAAGCAAACAACAACAUUAUGAUGUAUUACACAAAAUUAAAAAAAUUAUGGGAUGAAUAUGCAUGUUUAGAGCCAAUUCCAGUAUGUGAAUGUGGUGUAGCAAAGUUAUUUGCUGAGAUAGAAGGCAAACACAAAUUAAUGCAAUUCUUGAUGGGCUUAAAUGAGUCUUAUGACCAUGUGAGAAAUCAAAUUCUCAUAAUGGAGCCACUGCCUAGUGUAAACAAAGCAUAUUCUAUGAUUUUGAGAAUUGAAAAACAGAGGGAGACACAAAAUGAUGAAGCUGGGAACAGUGCAAUGACAGCAAACACUUCAGGGAUCAACAAAGGCAAAACAUGGAAAAACCAAUUCAAAAAAAAGGAUGACAGAACCUGUUCUUACUGCAAAACUACAGGCCAUGUGAGGGAAACAUGCUUCAAGCUCAAUGGAUAUCCAGAUUGGUUCAAUGAACUCAAAUUGAAGAAAAACAAAGGAAAAGAAAAUGUUGCAGCUCAUGUGUUUGAAACACCUCUAGAAAGCAAUGAUGAUUACACUCAAGGCAAAGUUGAUUGGAACAUAGAGUCACUGAUGCAGGAGAUGAUCAAAUACAUGAAGAAUCAUGGCCAGAGCACAGCCGGCAGCAAUGAUGCAAAUUGUGUGAACUAUACUGGGUUUGCAGGUAUGACAUCUUCUUGCUACUCUAAGGUUUAUGAAAAUAGAACUAUAGGAGAAUGGAUUAUAGAUACAGGUGCCACAGCUCACAUGUGCAAUGACCUAUCUCUUUUUUCAAAACACAGAACUCUAAAUAAACCUAGUGUAGUGACCCUACCCGAUGGUAGUAUGAAAAAUAUCACCAAAAUUGGUACAGUGCCUUUAAACCAGAAUAUGCAAUUGCUAGAUGUACUAUAUAUGCCCACAUUUAAAUACAAUUUACUGUCUGUUAGCCAAAUCACCCAAACUAACAAAAUAUCUGUACAAUUCUACCAUAAUCAAUGCAUCUUGCAGGACCUAGUGACUAAACACCCAUUGGCUGUUGGGAGAAUGCACCAAGGAUUGUAUAGACUAAAUAAAGAAUCAUUUAGCCAUCAAGACAGCAGAAUAAAGACAAUUGGCACAGCAUUGGCAUCUCAACAACUUCAAAGCAACUACGAAGUAUGGCACAGAAGAUUAGGUCAUGCAUCAAAAAGCAAAUUGUUGCAUCUAAAUGUAAUAAAAGCCAAUGAAUGUGAUUCUCAUGUAUGCACCAUUUGCCCUAUUGCAAAACAACAAAGAUUGAGUUUUAAUAAGAGCAAGAUUACAUCUACAUCACAAUUUGAGCUAAUUCAUGUGGAUCUCUGGAGCCUAUAUUCAGUAGUUUCAGUAUCAAAUGCAAGAUAUGUAUUGACCAUAGUUGAUGAUUACACUAGAGCUACAUGGACAUAUUUACUACAGCAAAAACAAUCAGUAUCUGUUGUGUUAAAAGAAUUCAUAGCUAUGGUGAACAAUCAAUUUCAUAAGUCAGUCAAGAACUUAAGAUCAGACAAUGGGACAGAGUUUGUGAACCAAGAUUGUAGCAAGUGGCUGAAGGAAAAGGGCAUUAUUCAUCAGAAAUCAUGCCCAUACACCCCACAACAGAAUGGGGUAGUUGAAAGAAAGCACAAACACCUAUUACAAGUUGCAAGAGCUCUAAUGUUUCAGUCAAAACUACCAAAAAGAUUCUGGGGAGAAUCCAUACUCACUGCCACCUAUAUCAUCAACAGAUUACCAAGCCCUGUACUUAAUUGGGAAACACCUUAUGCUAGUUUGCACAAGGAAAACCCCAAUCUAAACUUUCUCAAAACCUUUGGAUGCCUAUGCUUUGCAACCAAUACUUUACCCCACACGACAAAAUUUGAAGAAAGAGCCUUUAAAGGAGUAUUCCUUGGAUAUGUUCCAGGAAUGAAGGCCUACAAAAUAUAUGCCCUAGACCUAAACAAAAUCAUUGUUUCCAGAGAUGUGAUCUUCCAUGAAGACAUAUUCCCAUUCAGAUCACAACCUGACACCCAUGACCCACAUAAAACAGUAUUACCAAAUACAAUAUCCGAACCUGACUCAAGUCCAACCAUGCCAAUGUCACCUCAUACAGAUAUUAACCCCCCCCCAUGAAUCUUUAAGAAUAACAGAAGAGACUGAACAGUACACUGAGGAUUCUGCAACUGAAGACAGAAGAGAAACAUCUACUGAAGAUGAAGGAGAAAUUCCUGACAAUCUUGAACCAGCCCCAGAAAUUUCAGAAGAAGGAGCUUCUACACACACAAGGAGAAGCACAAGGCUACCUACAAGACCAAGAUGGCUAAAUGACUUUGUGGCAACCUCUAUAUGUCCUAUCAAUCCUGGUGCAUUCCCCAACAACACCACAGGUAAUUCUCCCUAUAACUACCCCUGUUUUACCUCUGAACCUAUUUUUACCCCCCAUUAUUUGAGUUUUGUGGCAAAUGUGUCUAUAAACUGUGAACCUAAGUCCUAUUCACAAGCCAAGGAGGAUAGCAAUUGGGUGCAAGCCAUGCAAGAUGAACUAACAGCCUUAGAUACCAAUAAUACUUGGUAUUUAACAACUCUGCCCAAAGGAAAAAGAGCCAUUGCUUCCAAAUGGGUUUUCAGAAUAAAAUACAAGCCAGACGGCUCAGUUGACAGAUUCAAAGCCAGGCUAGUGGCCAAGGGAUUUAAUCAAUUACUUGGAAUUGAUUAUACUGACAAUUUUUCUCCAGUAGCCAAAUUGGUUACUGUAAGAAUGUUCAUGGCAAUUGCUACUGCUAAGAACUGGCCUAUACAUCAACUUGACGUAAAUAAUGCAUACCUACAUGGUCAUAUAGAAGAAGAUUUAUACAUGAUCCCCCCGGAAGGCUAUGACAAAACUCAGCCAGGACAAGUGUGCAAACUCAUAAAAAGCAUUUACGGGCUAAAACAAGCAGGAAGAAUGUGGAAUAAGGAGCUUACCCAGUGCUUAAACCAAUUUGGUUUCAAACAAUCACCCUUUGAUCACUGCCUGUUCACAAGAACAAAGGAAGGCAGAUUUUUAACAUUGUUAGUUUACGUUGAUGAUAUUCUUAUAGCAGGUCAAUCAGAAAAAGAUAUAACAGAAAUGAAAUCUCACCUUGAUAAAGCUUUCACAAUCAAAGAUCUGGGACAUGUUAAAUACUUUCUGGGAUUACAGAUCGCACGUUCUGAGACUGGAUUAUUUCUUCACCAAAAGAAAUAUCUAUUAGACAUUAUACAAGACACAGGUUGUAUGCAAGCCAAAUUUUCUGACAACCCACUACCACAAGGACUCAAACUUGACAACACAACAGGACCUCUUUUGACUGAACCGGAUAAAUACAGGAGGUUAAUAGGAAGGUUACUCUACCUCGGAGUUACCAGGCCAGACAUCUCCUACGCGACGCAGCACCUCAGCCAGUUCAUGCAACAGUCGCGUCAACCGCACUGGAACGCCGCACUUCACGUGCUUCGCUAUCUGAAGAGUUGUCCAACAAGAGGGUUAUUUUUCCCAGCUCAGAACGAUCUCAAGCUCCGAGCUUUCUCCGAUGCUGACUGGGCUUCUUGUCCGAUGACCCGGAAAUCUCUCACCGGGUUCUGCAUAUUCCUCGGACCAUCCUUAAUAUCCUG
This 4161-nucleotide long non-coding RNA is filed under the name Manihot esculenta (cassava). RNAcentral describes it as "long non-coding RNA (MESC_LNC005135)". Lineage: Eukaryota; Viridiplantae; Streptophyta; Magnoliopsida; Malpighiales; Euphorbiaceae. The record is from RNAcentral.